RNA transcript from Budorcas taxicolor (takin), 836 nucleotides. It is a transcript of the gene named RPA interacting protein, with no coding region annotated. The record is from RefSeq and is a predicted model, not a curated record. Lineage: Eukaryota; Metazoa; Chordata; Mammalia; Artiodactyla; Bovidae. The transcript has 8 exons.
GCGAAAACGAGAUGGCAGAGAGGCCGGGGUCUCGGCACCGCUCGCUGUAUAAACUGAUGGGCUCGCCGCCUUGGAAAGAGGCUUUCAGGCAGGGAUGCCUGGAGAGAAUGAGAAACAGCCGGGACAGGCUCCUGAGCAAAUACCGCCAGGCUGGAGGCAGUAUGUCAGGAGGCGCUCAGAACACCCUUCUAGUGCAGGAGGUGAUGGAAGAAGAGUGGAAUGCUUUGCAGUCGGUGGAGAGCUGGCCACAGGCCUGGGCUCAGUUGGAGGAGCCGAUGGACCUGGCUGUGCUGGAGGAAAUCCAGCAGGAGCUGAUUGAUCAAGAACAGUCCAUCAUCAGUGAGUACGAGAAGAGCUUGCAGUUUGAUGAACAGUGUCUCAGUGUCAUGCUUGCUGAGUGGGAAGCAAACCCCCUCAUCUGUCCCGUGUGUACAAAGUACAACCUGAGGGUAGCAAGCGGACUGGUCGUGUGUCAGUGUGGCCUGUACAUCCAGUCUCAUUCUCCGGAGAUGACAGAGCAAAAGCUUCGUGCCUGUUUAGAAGACAGUGUCAAUGAGCACAGUGCACAUUGUCCCCACACGCCAGAAUUUUCAGUCACUGAGGGGACAGAGGAGAAGUCAUGUCUUCUCAUGAGCUGUCUGGCUUGUGAUACUUGGGCUGUGAUCCUCUAGAGUCGGUCCCAGUCUUGAAGCAUGAUCUACUGUGUUGGAAGAAAGUCCCAUCUUGAGAAGUGGCCUUGGCACCUUCCAGUGGUGGUGAGCGGCUGAGAAGCUGUGGGCAUGGGCUAGAAGCCUCCUCUAAAACAAUAAAUGUACUUGGCUGCACAGGGUCUUGGU